UUUUUUUUUUUUUUUUUUUUAACACUGUCAUUAGAAUUAAGGUAGACAAAAAAAAAAAUUGAAUGGAAAAUUUCCACAAUCUGGGAGGAAGUUUUGUUUCUAAAGCGCAAGGCAAAACCCUUUUCAGUUUACAACAAAUUCUCACUUGUGAUAAGGGUAGCAAAUCUUUUAGUUCUUCCAGGCCUCUGCCUUACAGAAUAGCCUUAGUAACUAAUUCUCGUGCCAAAAAACCACUAUGAUUAUACCAGAAAAAGAACAGGAAGUUUUUGAUGCCACUGGUUUUCUCUUAAAGGUAGAAAGACAUAUGCUUCAUGCUCAUCUCUCUCUUCCACCACACUCUGUGCUUCCUCACAGACCAAUUCAAAUGUAAUUUGACACUGAACUCCAGACUCAGUUUUUCUCCCUGUACCAAUAACAGAAUUAGGUACCUAAAUCAAGUUAUUGUUACUGUGAGGCAGUUUUCUUUCUAAUUAAGCUUGUCAGGGACCUUUCUAUCUUUGAAGUCAGUAAUUAUCUUCCCAAAAAACCCAAGAGCUCUAAACUGCUCCUCAAAUGCUUUUUUUUUUUUUUCAGUCCCUUAGUAUUGUAAAGUCUCUCCUAUACUUACUUAUAAAUUUGCUUCUGGGACCUGGGAAGCUAGUGAGAGUUUGUAUAUGAAAGAUUUGUCUUCUGUCUCCAUCUACUGCUCCAGAUGAUGAACAUAAUGCCCUAUCUACUAGCCCUGUACAGAUGUGUCAUAUAUCUAUGUUAUACCAAAUGCAGUGAACUUUUUUAGUCCAUUGAAUCACAUUCAGUCUAUGGCAAAUACAUUUAUUUUAGAAGUUUGAUCUGCAAUUUUAAUUAAUUUUCUUCUGUUAUUAGGGGGAAAAUGAUGUCAGAGGUGCUGAUCCUUUUCCAUAUUAGGAAACCUGUUUGAAAAAUGUUCAAAAAAUGUUACUACUAAGGUUUCCUUGUAAUAAUUGACUCUCAGUUAUUUUCUCACAAAGACAAAAGGUAUACAGUUAUACUCUUUUCUACUAUGUCACUCCCCUAAACCCAAAAUAAGCCAGUAAAGUACAGGCAGAUUUAAAGGAAAAAGUAUGAUUCAAGGUUCUUAUUAUUGAUUUUGUAUAGAUGUUGUAUUUCAUCCUACAAACAACAUGCACACAGCUGUAUUACAGUCAGACUCAUUCUGCACGUAUUUUAUUUUAGGCAUAACUUUAGUUCAGAAAAGUUUAAUUAGUAAAUGCGUCUGUAAAUACACACAAUCCACAAGUCUUGAAAAUGACAAAAUAAUAAUAAUAAUAAAGUCACAAUAAAAUCUGUUGAAAUUGAAAAAGAAAUACAGGUUGAAUAUCUGCCACAGUUUUUAGUAUCCUUGGGAUUUAGCCACUAUACUGAGCUCCUAACUGAAAGAGGUCGCAUAGUGAUGAUGAAAUAUCUGUCCAAGCAGAAUGGAACAUCAUUUCAAAAAUGUGUAAAGGAGCUUUUUACAUUAUUAGAGCUCCUCAAGAUUUAUCAGGGCAUAAUUCAUUCAGAUGUAAUCUAUUAGACAGUGCUUCUGCAUCUUGACACACAGCAUGAAGAGUAUUUUAUCUCCACAGAAGGUAAAGAUUACUGCCACCAAAUGAAGGUGCAGUUUUGCUAUCAAUGCAACUCACUUUCACUGGCAACAUCCUGCCAUGCCUCUAGCUUGUUCUCAAACUCAUUCUCAUUUCACUCAGCAUUUCUGCCAAGCUUUUCCUCAGGGUUCCAAAACAGUUAGGAGCUAAACUUCUCUACAUUCUGCCCCAACUCAAGCCCUCAAUGUACAUACCUCAGAAUAGCACUUCCAAGAAAAGAUGCAACAUUGCUGGCAAAAGAGGCAUGCAGCACGUUCCUUAAAGUCUGUAUUUCAGUUAAGUCAAAUUUUCUUUGUACUUCAGGUUUAACUUUCUCCUU
This is a long non-coding RNA of Gallus gallus (chicken), 1920 nucleotides long. NCBI's taxonomy places the organism in Eukaryota, Metazoa, Chordata, Aves, Galliformes, Phasianidae. The record is from Ensembl.